AAGUCGUAACAAGGUUUCCGUAGGUGAACCUGCGGAAGGAUCAUUCACACAAUAAAGUCCUUAGCUUAGUGCAUUAUAUAUGUGUCAAAGCAUAUAUGGUGUAUUAGGUUUUGUGAUUUUUUUAAACCCAAAACUAAAACCAAACGCGAACUGUACAAUCCUUGUCAAAAUAACCAAAUGCCCUGUUACGCGGUAGAUGAAAGUCUAUGCGGUGUUCUCGGCGAGUUAAAACGUCGGCUGAUGAUGCCUCUAACCCGGGCUAGUUAGUUGUUAAUUUUGCUGAUAGUCCUAUAUCUGGUGGAUUCCUUAUAGGCGGAAAUGUAGAAAUACGAAAUAUAUACAACUCUUUGCAAUGGAUAUCUUGGUUCUC
RNAcentral lists this unclassified non-coding RNA (370 nucleotides) under fungal sp. RNAcentral describes it as "partial internal transcribed spacer region". The stretch from base 1 to 46 matches the Rfam family "Eukaryotic small subunit ribosomal RNA", at positions 1786 to 1831 of the family's 1831-position model. Lineage: Eukaryota; Fungi. The record is from RNAcentral.